AGAUUGAACGCUGGCGGCAUGCCUAACACAUGCAAGUCGAACGGGAGUAGCAAUACUCUAGUGGCGGACGGGUGAGGAAUACGUAGGAAUUUGCCCUUAAGUGGGGGAUAACCCGGGGAAACCCGGAUUAAUACCGCAUGACCUCGAAAGAGCAAAGUGGGGGAUCGCAAGACCUCACGCUUUUGGAGAAGCCUACGUCGGAUUAGCUAGUUGGUGAGGUAAUGGCUCACCAAGGCGACGAUCCGUAACUGGUCUGAGAGGAUGAUCAGUCACACCGGAACUGAGACACGGUCCGGACUCCUACGGGAGGCAGCAGUGGGGAAUAUUGGACAAUGGGCGCAAGCCUGAUCCAGC
Molecule: ribosomal RNA, 354 nt
Filed under: uncultured soil bacterium
Lineage: Bacteria
Description: bacterial SSU rRNA
Rfam family: Bacterial small subunit ribosomal RNA
Source: RNAcentral